AGAAUUGAAAGAUUGGAGCUUUCGCAUCCAAAAUUCGCCUCCAAGGUGUGAGAAUGGGUGUUUCUGCGUCUUUUCUCUGCCAAAAGAUAACCCUAAGGUUUGCAUAAAUCUAUUUAUAAUCUAUGAAAAAUUACAGAAAACAGGCCCAAGCCCAAUUACAAUGCUCAGCGCUGGUUUCACCGCUCAACGAUUGGUGCGGCACUCAAGUGGGAUGCUUAGCGUUCACACCCAGGCGUCUAGCAGUGCUGUUUCUGAAAAGGCCAGCGCUCAGUGCUAGAUCUGACGCUCAACGGUGGGUGUGACUCUAUCUUUUCCCCUCAGUGUUGGCGCUUAAGCGUCUGACAGUGGCUUUCUUCACAAAGCUGGCGCUCAGUCCUGAAACUAGCGUUGAGCGGUGGCUGCGAUUCUUCCUUUGCAGCUUUCUUCAUCCUUUCUUGAGUCCAACUCCUUCCUACGUCACUCUCCACCAUUCAAUUCUCAUAUAAUCC
RNAcentral lists this long non-coding RNA (488 nucleotides) under Vigna radiata. RNAcentral describes it as "long non-coding RNA (VRAD_LNC016740)". Lineage: Eukaryota; Viridiplantae; Streptophyta; Magnoliopsida; Fabales; Fabaceae. The record is from RNAcentral.